This 72-nucleotide transfer RNA is filed under the name Gessius rufidorsus. Its description in RNAcentral is "Gessius sp. 'rufidorsus' tRNA-Trp". The record is from RNAcentral. Lineage: Eukaryota; Metazoa; Arthropoda; Insecta; Hemiptera; Cicadellidae.
UAGGAUUUUAAGUUAAUUAAACUUUUAACCUUCAAAGUUAUAAAUAUUAAUAUUUAAAUUAUUAAAUCUUAA